CAGUAGCCGCGGUAAUACGUAGGGUGCGAGCGUUAAUCGGAAUUACUGGGCGUAAAGCGUGCGCAGGCGGUUUCGUAAGACAGGCGUGAAAUCCCCGGGCUCGACCUGGGAACUGCAUUUGUGACUGUAGAGCUGGAGUGCGGCAGAGGGGGAUGGAAUUCCGCGUGUAGCAGUGAGAAGCGUAGAUAUGCGGAGGAACACCGAUGGCGAAGGCAAUCCCCUGGGCCUGCACUGACGCUCAUGCACGAAAGCGUGGGGAGCAAACAGGAUUAGAUACCCCAGUAGUCCCUGUCUCUUAUAC
This 301-nucleotide ribosomal RNA is filed under the name uncultured bacterium. RNAcentral describes it as "partial 16S ribosomal RNA". It matches the Rfam family "Bacterial small subunit ribosomal RNA", at positions 509 to 807 of the family's 1533-position model. The record is from RNAcentral.